Molecule: microRNA precursor, 94 nt
Filed under: Drosophila guanche
Lineage: Eukaryota; Metazoa; Arthropoda; Insecta; Diptera; Drosophilidae
Rfam family: mir-276 microRNA precursor family
Source: RNAcentral
CGAAGCCUCUUUGCCAUCAGCGAGGUAUAGAGUUCCUACGUGCCACAUUCAAGUCGUAGGAACUUAAUACCGUGCUCUUGGAGGGCUGUCGAUC